This 551-nucleotide ribosomal RNA is filed under the name uncultured bacterium. RNAcentral's name for it is "partial 16S ribosomal RNA". It matches the Rfam family "Bacterial small subunit ribosomal RNA", at positions 356 to 898 of the family's 1533-position model. The record is from RNAcentral.
AGGGAAUCUUCCACAAUGGACGCAAGUCUGAUGGAGCAACGCCGCGUGAGUGAAGAAGGUUUUCGGACCGUAAAGCUCUGUUGUUGGUGAAGAAGGAUAGAGGUAGUAACUGGCCUUUAUUUGACGGUAAUCAACCAGAAAGUCACGGCUAACUACGUGCCAGCAGCCGCGGUAAUACGUAGGUGGCAAGCGUUGUCCGGAUUUAUUGGGCGUAAAGCGAGCGCAGGCGGAAGAAUAAGUCUGAUGUGAAAGCCCUCGGCUUAACCGAGGAAUUGCAUCGGAAACUGUUUUCUUGAGUGCAGAAGAGGAGAGUAGAACUCCAUGUGUAGCGGUGGAAUGCGUAGAUAUAUGGAAGAAUACCAGUGGCGAAGGCGGCUCUCUGGUCUGCAACUGACGCUGAGGCUCGAAAGCAUGGGUAGCGAACAGGAUUAGAUACCCUGGUAGUCCAUGCCGUAAACGAUGAGUGCUAAGUGUUGGGAGGCUUCCGCCUCUCAGUGCUGCAGCUAACGCAUUAAGCACUCUGCCUGGGGGAGUACGACCGCAAGGUUGAA